This is a long non-coding RNA of Tachysurus fulvidraco (yellow catfish), 293 nucleotides long. RefSeq lists it as uncharacterized. The transcript has 3 exons. The record is from RefSeq and is a predicted model, not a curated record. Lineage: Eukaryota; Metazoa; Chordata; Actinopteri; Siluriformes; Bagridae.
GUACGACAUUGCUGUUGGGUACAGGCUGUCCUUCACUCCAGGUUGUGUGUGCUCUAGAUCGCCUGCACAUUCACAGUUUAUUGAUGACGGAUAAAGCUGUGAGUAACUGAACCCGUGUGUUUGGUGCUCUACUUCGGGUGCAUCUGCUUGUGAGCAUUUCGUUGCUGUGGACUGCAGGGUGAAUGCUCCUUAGACAGCGUUAAGACUGCACUGUUUGUUCUGCUGCUAUUUUUACGACUGAGCUGAAGGCCCCAGUGAGGGAAGCUAGCUGUCUUGGCCCUGUGGUGGUGGUG